UGAACGCUAGCUACAGACUUAACACAUGCAAGUCGAGGGGCAGCAUGGUCUUAGCUUGCUAAGGCCGAUGGCGACCGGCGCACGGGUGAGUAACACGUAUCCAACCUGCCGUCUACUCUUGGACAGCCUUCUGAAAGGAAGAUUAAUACAAGAUGGCAUCAUGAGUCCGCAUGUUCACAUGAUUAAAGGUAUUCCGGUAGACGAUGGGGAUGCGUUCCAUUAGAUAGUAGGCGGGGUAACGGCCCACCUAGUCUUCGAUGGAUAGGGGUUCUGAGAGGAAGGUCCCCCACAUUGGAACUGAGACACGGUCCAAACUCCUACGGGAGGCAGCAGUGAGGAAUAUUGGUCAAUGGGCGAGAGCCUGAACCAGCCAAGUAGCGUGAAGGAUGACUGCCCUAUGGGUUGUAAACUUCUUUUAUAAAGGAAUAAAGUCGGGUAUGGAUACCCGUUUGCAUGUACUUUAUGAAUAAGGAUCGGCUAACUCCGUGCCAGCAGCCGCGGUAAUACGGAGGAUCCGAGCGUUAUCCGGAUUUAUUGGGUUUAAAGGGAGCGUAGAUGGAUGUUUAAGUCAGUUGUGAAAGUUUGCGGCUCUACCGCCAAAUUUGCAGUUGAUACUGGAUAUUUUGAGUGCAGUGAGGGCAGGCGGAAUUCGUGGUGUAGCGGUGAAAUGCUUAGAUAUCACGAAGAACUCCGAUUGCGAAGGCAGCCUGCUAAGCUGCAACUGACAUUGAGGCUCGAAAGUGUGGGUAUCAAACAGGAUUAGAUACCCUGGUAGUCCACACGGUAAACGAUGAAUACUCGCUGUUUGCGAUAUACAGCAAGCGGCCAAGCGAAAGCGUUAAGUAUUCCACCUGGGGAGUACGCCGGCAACGGUGAAACUCAAAGGAAUUGACGGGGGCCCGCACAAGCGGAGGAACAUGUGGUUUAAUUCGAUGAUACGCGAGGAACCUUACCCGGGCUUAAAUUGCAGAUGAAUUACGGUGAAAGCCGUAAGCCGCAAGGCAUCUGUGAAGGUGCUGCAUGGUUGUCGUCAGCUCGUGCCGUGAGGUGUCGGCUUAAGUGCCAUAACGAGCGCAACCCUUGUUGUCAGUUACUAACAGGUUCCGCUGAGGACUCUGACAAGACUGCCAUCGUAAGAUGUGAGGAAGGUGGGGAUGACGUCAAAUCAGCACGGCCCUUACGUCCGGGGCUACACACGUGUUACAAUGGGGGGUACAGAGGGCCGCUACCACGCGAGUGGAUGCCAAUCCCCAAAACCUCUCUCAGUUCGGACUGGAGUCUGCAACCCGACUCCACGAAGCUGGAUUCGCUAGUAAUCGCGCAUCAGCCACGGCGCGGUGAAUACGUUCCCGGGCCUUGUACACACCGCCCGUCAAGCCAUGGGAGCCGGGGGUACCUGAAGUGCGUAACCGCGAGGAGCGCCCUAGGGUAAAACUGGUGACUGGGGC
RNAcentral lists this ribosomal RNA (1448 nucleotides) under uncultured organism. Its description in RNAcentral is "SSU rRNA". It matches the Rfam family "Bacterial small subunit ribosomal RNA". The record is from RNAcentral.